UCAGGGCCCCCAAGGGAAGGAAGGCACAACGGGCCCCCGAGGCGCCACAGGACCCAUGGGACCUCCGGGAUCUCCUGGAAAUUCAGGUGGAGUCGGAAAACCAGGAAACCCCGGAGACACCGGAUCUCCUGGCUCUCUCGGUCUAAAGGGAGACAAGGGAGAGAGAGGCGACUUCGCUCCUCAGAACAUGAUGAGAUCCAUCGCCAGACAAGUGUGUGAGCAGCUGGUGAACGGUGAGAUG
Notothenia coriiceps (black rockcod) is the source of this 241-nucleotide long non-coding RNA. RefSeq lists it as uncharacterized. NCBI's taxonomy places the organism in Eukaryota, Metazoa, Chordata, Actinopteri, Perciformes, Nototheniidae. The transcript has 4 exons. The record is from RefSeq and is a predicted model, not a curated record.